AGUGGCAGACGGGUGAGUAACAUGUGGGUAUCUACCCUUUGGCCUGGAAUAACACGAGGAAACUUGUGCUAAUACCGGAUAAGUCUUUACGGAGAAAGCUUUAUGCACCAUUGGAUGAGCCCGCACUUGAUUAGUUUGUUGGUAGGGUAAUGGCCUACCAAGACUAUGAUCAAUAGCUGAUUUGAGAGGAUGAUCAGCCACAUUGGGACUGAGACACGGCCCAAACUCCUACGGGAGGCAGCAGUGGGGAAUCUUGCACAAUGGAGGAAACUCUGAUGCAGCGAUGCCGCGUGAGUGAAGAAGGCCUUUGGGUUGUAAAGCUCUUUCGUCGGGGAAGAAAAUGACUGUACCCGAAUAAGAAGGUCCGGCUAACUUCGUGCCAGCAGCCGCGGUAAUACGAAGGGACCUAGCGUAGUUCGGAAUUACUGGGCUUAAAGAGUUCGUAGGUGGUUGAAAAAGUUGGUGGUGAAAUCCCAGAGCUUAACUCUGGAACUGCCAUCAAAACUUUUCAGCUAGAGUAUGAUAGAGGAAAGCAGAAUUUCUAGUGUAGAGGUGAAAUUCGUAGAUAUUAGAAAGAAUACCAAUUGCGAAGGCAGCUUUCUGGAUCAUUACUGACACUGAGGACGAAGCAUGGGUAGCGAAGAGGAUUAGAUACCCUCGUAGUCCAUGCCGA
This 673-nucleotide ribosomal RNA is filed under the name uncultured bacterium. Its description in RNAcentral is "bacterial SSU rRNA". It matches the Rfam family "Bacterial small subunit ribosomal RNA", at positions 94 to 803 of the family's 1533-position model. The record is from RNAcentral.